This 422-nucleotide ribosomal RNA is filed under the name uncultured archaeon. Its description in RNAcentral is "partial 16S ribosomal RNA". It matches the Rfam family "Archaeal small subunit ribosomal RNA", at positions 323 to 746 of the family's 1478-position model. The record is from RNAcentral.
CUACGGGCCGCUGCAGGUGCGAAACCUUUACACUGUACGAAAGUACGAUAAGGGAAUCCCAAGUGCUCAUGCUUUGCAUGGGCUUUUGCCAAGAGUAAAUAUCUUGGCGAAUAAGUGGUGGGCAAGACGGGUGCCAGCCGCCGCGGUAACACCCGCGCCACAAGUGGGGACCUCGUUUAUUGGGCCUAAAGCGUCCGUAGCUGGUUUGGUAAAUCUUCUGUGAAAUCGUUGGGCUUAACUUAACGGCGUGCAGGAGACACUACCAGACUUGGAACCGGGAGGAGUUAGGAGUAUUCUGGGGGGAGCGGUAAAAUGCUAUAAUCCUCGGAAGACUACCUGUGGCGAAGGCGCCUAACCAGAACGGAUUCGACAGUGAGGGACGAAAGCUAGGGGAGCGAACCGGAUUAGAUACCCCUGUAGUC